RNAcentral lists this long non-coding RNA (210 nucleotides) under Cyanistes caeruleus (blue tit). RNAcentral's name for it is "lncRNA (ENSCCEG00000014509.1)". Lineage: Eukaryota; Metazoa; Chordata; Aves; Passeriformes; Paridae. The record is from RNAcentral.
AUUAUGUCUUCCAGCUGUACAAAAGGAGAAGUCACAACCACAUGUAGCAGACCUGUAGAAGUUUUUCUUUGAAUAUUUUCUGAAGAUGCCCUAAUUGCAGCACUCCAAUGCAAAACAAAACUUCUGGGAAAAACAUCCACAUGAAGACUGAAGGCAUAACAAGACUUCUCUUAGAGCAGAAGAAGUACAAAACUACAAUUCUGUAAGAAG